UUAAGCGACUAAGCGUACACGGUGGAUGCCCUGGCAGUCAGAGGCGAUGAAGGACGUGCUAAUCUGCGAUAAGCGUCGGUAAGGUGAUAUGAACCGUUAUAACCGGCGAUUUCCGAAUGGGGAAACCCAGUGUGAUUCGUCACACUAUCAUUAACUGAAUCCAUAGGUUAAUGAGGCGAACCGGGGGAACUGAAACAUCUAAGUACCCCGAGGAAAAGAAAUCAACCGAGAUUCCCCCAGUAGCGGCGAGCGAACGGGGAGCAGCCCAGAGCCUGAAUCAGUGUGUGUGUUAGUGGAAGCGUCUGGAAAGGCGCGCGAUACAGGGUGACAGCCCCGUACACAAAAAUGCACAUGCUGUGAGCUCGAUGAGUAGGGCGGGACACGUGGUAUCCUGUCUGAAUAUGGGGGGACCAUCCUCCAAGGCUAAAUACUCCUGACUGACCGAUAGUGAACCAGUACCGUGAGGGAAAGGCGAAAAGAACCCCGGCGAGGGGAGUGAAAAAGACCUGAAACCGUGUACGUACAAGCAGUGGGAGCACGCUUAGGCGUGUGACUGCGUACCUUUGUAUAAUGGGUCAGCGACUUAUAUUCUGUAGCAAGGUUAACCGAAUAGGGGAGCCGAAGGGAAACCGAGUCUUAACUGGGCGUUAAGUUGCAGGGUAUAGACCCGAAACCCGGUGAUCUAGCCAUGGGCAGGUUGAAGGUUGGGUAACACUAACUGGAGGACCGAACCGACUAAUGUUGAAAAAUUAGCGGAUGACUUGUGGCUGGGGGUGAAAGGCCAAUCAAACCGGGAGAUAGCUGGUUCUCCCCGAAAGCUAUUUAGGUAGCGCCUCGUGAAUUCAUCUCCGGGGGUAGAGCACUGUUUCGGCAAGGGGGUCAUCCCGACUUACCAACCCGAUGCAAACUACGAAUACCGGAGAAUGUUAUCACGGGAGACACACGGCGGGUGCUAACGUCCGUCGUGAAGAGGGAAACAACCCAGACCGCCAGCUAAGGUCCCAAAGUCAUGGUUAAGUGGGAAACGAUGUGGGAAGGCCCAGACAGCCAGGAUGUUGGCUUAGAAGCAGCCAUCAUUUAAAGAAAGCGUAAUAGCUCACUGGUCGAGUCGGCCUGCGCGGAAGAUGUAACGGGGCUAAACCAUGCACCGAAGCUGCGGCAGCGACGCUGAUGCGUUGUUGGGUAGGGGAGCGUUCUGUAAGCCUGCGAAGGUGUGCUGUGAGGCAUGCUGGAGGUAUCAGAAGUGCGAAUGCUGACAUAAGUAACGAUAAAGCGGGUGAAAAGCCCGCUCGCCGGAAGACCAAGGGUUCCUGUCCAACGUUAAUCGGGGCAGGGUGAGUCGACCCCUAAGGCGAGGCCGAAAGGCGUAGUCGAUGGGAAACAGGUUAAUAUUCCUGUACUUGGUGUUACUGCGAAGGGGGGACGGAGAAGGCUAUGUUGGCCGGGCGACGGUUGUCCCGGUUUAAGCGUGUAGGCUGGUUUUCCAGGCAAAUCCGGAAAAUCAAGGCUGAGGCGUGAUGACGAGGCACUACGGUGCUGAAGCAACAAAUGCCCUGCUUCCAGGAAAAGCCUCUAAGCAUCAGGUAACAUCAAAUCGUACCCCAAACCGACACAGGUGGUCAGGUAGAGAAUACCAAGGCGCUUGAGAGAACUCGGGUGAAGGAACUAGGCAAAAUGGUGCCGUAACUUCGGGAGAAGGCACGCUGAUAUGUAGGUGAAGCGACUUGCUCGUGGAGCUGAAAUCAGUCGAAGAUACCAGCUGGCUGCAACUGUUUAUUAAAAACACAGCACUGUGCAAACACGAAAGUGGACGUAUACGGUGUGACGCCUGCCCGGUGCCGGAAGGUUAAUUGAUGGGGUCAGCGCAAGCGAAGCUCUUGAUCGAAGCCCCGGUAAACGGCGGCCGUAACUAUAACGGUCCUAAGGUAGCGAAAUUCCUUGUCGGGUAAGUUCCGACCUGCACGAAUGGCGUAAUGAUGGCCAGGCUGUCUCCACCCGAGACUCAGUGAAAUUGAACUCGCUGUGAAGAUGCAGUGUACCCGCGGCAAGACGGAAAGACCCCGUGAACCUUUACUAUAGCUUGACACUGAACGUUGAGCCUUGAUGUGUAGGAUAGGUGGGAGGCUUUGAAGUGUGGACGCCAGUCUGCAUGGAGCCGACCUUGAAAUACCACCCUUUAAUGUUUGAUGUUCUAACGUGGACCCGUAAUCCGGGUUGCGGACAGUGUCUGGUGGGUAGUUUGACUGGGGCGGUCUCCUCCUAAAGAGUAACGGAGGAGCACGAAGGUUGGCUAAUCCUGGUCGGACAUCAGGAGGUUAGUGCAAUGGCAUAAGCCAGCUUGACUGCGAGCGUGACGGCGCGAGCAGGUGCGAAAGCAGGUCAUAGUGAUCCGGUGGUUCUGAAUGGAAGGGCCAUCGCUCAACGGAUAAAAGGUACUCCGGGGAUAACAGGCUGAUACCGCCCAAGAGUUCAUAUCGACGGCGGUGUUUGGCACCUCGAUGUCGGCUCAUCACAUCCUGGGGCUGAAGUAGGUCCCAAGGGUAUGGCUGUUCGCCAUUUAAAGUGGUACGCGAGCUGGGUUUAGAACGUCGUGAGACAGUUCGGUCCCUAUCUGCCGUGGGCGCUGGAGAACUGAGGGGGGCUGCUCCUAGUACGAGAGGACCGGAGUGGACGCAUCACUGGUGUUCGGGUUGUCAUGCCAAUGGCACUGCCCGGUAGCUAAAUGCGGAAGAGAUAAGUGCUGAAAGCAUCUAAGCACGAAACUUGCCCCGAGAUGAGUUCUCCCUGACUCCUUGAGAGUCCUGAAGGAACGUUGAAGACGACGACGUUGAUAGGCCGGGUGUGUAAGCGCAGCGAUGCGUUGAGCUAACCGGUACUAAUGAACCGUGAGGCUUAACCUU
Molecule: ribosomal RNA, 2900 nt
Filed under: Escherichia coli STEC_O31
Lineage: Bacteria; Pseudomonadati; Pseudomonadota; Gammaproteobacteria; Enterobacterales; Enterobacteriaceae
Description: bacterial LSU rRNA
Rfam family: Bacterial large subunit ribosomal RNA
Source: RNAcentral